Molecule: ribosomal RNA, 454 nt
Filed under: uncultured bacterium
Lineage: Bacteria
Description: bacterial SSU rRNA
Rfam family: Bacterial small subunit ribosomal RNA
Source: RNAcentral
AGGCAGCAGUGGGGAAUAUUGCACAAUGGGCGCAAGCCUGAUGCAGCCAUGCCGCGUGUAUGAAGAAGGCCUUCGGGUUGUAAAGUACUUUCAGCAGUGAGGAAGGUGGGUAUGUUAAUAGCAUAUUCAUUUGACGUUAGCUGCAGAAGAAGCACCGGCUAACUCCGUGCCAGCAGCCGCGGUAAUACGGAGGGUGCGAGCGUUAAUCGGAAUUACUGGGCGUAAAGCGCAUGCAGGUGGUUUGUUAAGUCAGAUGUGAAAGCCCGGGGCUCAACCUCGGAAUUGCAUUUGAAACUGGCAAACUAGAGUACUGUAGAGGGGGUAGAAUUUCAGGUGUAGCGGUGAAAUGCGUAGAGAUCUGAAGGAAUACCGGUGGCGAAGGCGGCCCCCUGGACAGAUACUGACACUCAGAUGCGAAAGCGUGGGGAGCAAACAGGAUUAUAUACCCUGGUAG